GGCGGGGGGGGCCUUACAAUGCAAGUCGAGCGGUUGAGGGGAGCUUGCUCCCUGAUUCAUCGGCGGACGGGUGAGUAAUGCCUAGGAAUCUGCCUAUUAGUGGGGGACAACGUUUCGAAAGGAACGCUAAUACCGCAUACGUCCUACGGGAGAAAGCAGGGGACCUUCGGGCCUUGCGCUAAUAGAUGAGCCUAGGUCGGAUUAGCUAGUUGGUGGGGUAAAGGCUCACCAAGGCGACGAUCCGUAACUGGUCUGAGAGGAUGAUCAGUCACACUGGAACUGAGACACGGUCCAGACUCCUACGGGAGGCAGCAGUGGGGAAUAUUGGACAAUGGGCGAAAGCCUGAUCCAGCCAUGCCGCGUGUGUGAAGAAGGUCUUCGGAUUGUAAAGCACUUUAAGUUGGGAGGAAGGGUUGUAGAUUAAUACUCUGCAAUUUUGACGUUACCGACAGAAUAAGCACCGGCUAACUCUGUGCCAGCAGCCGCGGUAAUACAGAGGGUGCAAGCGUUAAUCGGAAUUACUGGGCGUAAAGCGCGCGUAGGUGGUUUGUUAAGUUGGAUGUGAAAGCCCCGGGCUCAACCUGGGAACUGCAUCCAAAACUGGCAAGCUAGAGUACGGUAGAGGGUGGUGGAAUUUCCUGUGUAGCGGUGAAAUGCGUAGAUAUAGGAAGGAACACCAGUGGCGAAGGCGACCACCUGGACUGAUACUGACACUGAGGUGCGAAAGCGUGGGGAGCAAACAGGAUUACAUAACCUGUGUAGUCC
Molecule: ribosomal RNA, 765 nt
Filed under: Phytopseudomonas flavescens
Lineage: Bacteria; Pseudomonadati; Pseudomonadota; Gammaproteobacteria; Pseudomonadales; Pseudomonadaceae
Description: bacterial SSU rRNA
Rfam family: Bacterial small subunit ribosomal RNA
Source: RNAcentral